AAUGAAUUCUAAGAAGUGUCUUUUUCUCCCCCAGGGACCUGGAAUAGGACAUGCCUCUCUCUCCACUUUUGGUUUUGUGGGAGCUGCACUUGAAAUUAUUUUGAUUUUCUAUCUCAUGGUGUCCUCUGUCGUUGGUUUCUAUAGCCUCCGAUUUUUUGGAAACUUCACACCCAAGAAGGAUGACACAACUAUGACCAAGAUCAUUGGGAAUUGUGUGUCAAUCUUGGUCUUGAGCUCUGCUCUGCCUGUGAUGUCACGAACACUGGGUAAGUUUGAAUGAGAAAUGUCCAUUUAAAAGCCAUACCUUUUAAAGAUGUUUUUACAUAAACCUCUUUAACUUUUACUUUCUAAACUCUUUCAAAAAGAUCACCUUUAAAACGUAAUGCUUCUUCCCACAUCAUUUUAUACUUUCUAUUCUAUAUUUCCCUUAUG
Molecule: non-coding RNA, 432 nt
Organism: Castor canadensis (American beaver)
Lineage: Eukaryota; Metazoa; Chordata; Mammalia; Rodentia; Castoridae
Source: RefSeq, a predicted model, not a curated record